ACAACAUGAAAGAAUAUGAUGAAUCCAUCCCUUGUUUGUGCAUCAGGGAUCCACUGUGAAAAAAUCUUGUAAUCCAAGGAAGUAUUUGAAGCCCAGGGGAUUGUGGUGAAAAAGACAAACACUGCCCCAUCUGUCCUGAAACAGACAUUUCAGAGGAGGGAAAUGGAUGAUAAACAGGUAAGU
Molecule: long non-coding RNA, 183 nt
Filed under: Callithrix jacchus (white-tufted-ear marmoset)
Lineage: Eukaryota; Metazoa; Chordata; Mammalia; Primates; Cebidae
Description: lncRNA (ENSCJAG00000052592.2)
Source: RNAcentral